GUAUUCGUGGAAAGGAGAGAUGGUUGGCAUCUCCCCUGUCGGGGACGGGAACAGCCUUCGGGCUUUACCUGUUACCAGCACAUCCGGUUAAGGCUUUUCACUUCGGUGGAUCUUAAAACCCAAUUUAUUU
Salvia splendens (bonfire salvia) is the source of this 130-nucleotide small nuclear RNA. Lineage: Eukaryota; Viridiplantae; Streptophyta; Magnoliopsida; Lamiales; Lamiaceae. The record is from RefSeq and is a predicted model, not a curated record.